GGGGUAAAAGCACUGUUUCGGUGCGGGCUGCGAGAGCGGUACCAAAUCGAGACGAACUCUGAAUACCCUGUGUGAAACUAGGCAGUCAGACUGUGGGGGAUAAGCUCCAUGGUCGAAAGGGAAACAGCCCAGACCGCCAGCUAAGGUCCCCAAAUCAACGCUCAGUGAUAAAGGAGGUGGGAUUGCCCAGACAACCAGGAGGUUUGCCUAGAAGCAGCCAUCCUCAAAGGAGUGCGUAAUAGCUCACUGGUCGAGCGAUCCUGCGCCGAAAAUGAACGGGGCUAAGCGUUGUACCGAAGCUGCGGAUUUAACUUGUUAAAUGGUAGGGGAGCGUUCCAUGUGGGGCGAAGCGUUAGCGUAAGCGGGCGUGGACUGCAUGGAAGUGAGAAUGUCGGCUUGAGUAGCGAAAACAUGGGUGAGAAUCCCAUGCCCCGAAACCCUAAGGGUUCCUCCGGCAGGCUCGUCCGCGGAGGGUUAGUCAGGACCUAAGGCGAGGCCGAAAGGCGUAGUCGAUGGACAACAGGUCAACAUUCCUGUACCUGUCAUGUUUUGGGAAGGGGGACGGAGAAGGCUAGCCCAGCCAGAAGUUGGUUACUGGUUCAAGCGUUCGAGGCGUUGAGAAGUGGCGAAAACACUUUGAGCUGAGGCGUGAGUACGAGCUGCUACGGCAGCGAAGUGGGUGAUGUCAAGCUUCCAAGAAAAGCCCUAUACCCGUUAAGGCAUGACGGCCUGUACCCGAAACCGACACAGGUGGGGUGGUAGAGAAUACCGAGGGGCGCGAGGUAACUCUCUCUAAGGAACUCGGCAAAAUGGCCCCGUAACUC
Molecule: ribosomal RNA, 824 nt
Filed under: Synechococcus sp. UTEX LB 2390
Lineage: Bacteria; Bacillati; Cyanobacteriota; Cyanophyceae; Synechococcales; Synechococcaceae
Description: bacterial LSU rRNA
Rfam family: Bacterial large subunit ribosomal RNA
Source: RNAcentral